ACAUGCAGUCGAGCGAACAGAUAAGGAGCUUGCUCCUUUGACGUUAGCGGCGGACGGGUGAGUAACACGUGGGUAACCUACCUAUAAGACUGGGAUAACUUCGGGAAACCGGAGCUAAUACCGGAUAACAUUUGGAACCGCAUGGUUCUAAAGUGAAAGAUGGUUUUGCUAUCACUUAUAGAUGGACCCGCGCCGUAUUAGCUAGUUGGUAAGGUAACGGCUUACCAAGGCGACGAUACGUAGCCGACCUGAGAGGGUGAUCGGCCACACUGGAACUGAGACACGGUCCAGACUCCUACGGGAGGCAGCAGUAGGGAAUCUUCCGCAAUGGGCGAAAGCCUGACGGAGCAACGCCGCGUGAGUGAUGAAGGGUUUCGGCUCGUAAAACUCUGUUAUUAGGGAAGAACAAACGUGUAAGUAACUGUGCACGUCUUGACGGUACCUAAUCAGAAAGCCACGGCUAACUACGUGCC
RNAcentral lists this ribosomal RNA (473 nucleotides) under uncultured bacterium. RNAcentral's name for it is "bacterial SSU rRNA". It matches the Rfam family "Bacterial small subunit ribosomal RNA", at positions 53 to 509 of the family's 1533-position model. The record is from RNAcentral.